This 464-nucleotide ribosomal RNA is filed under the name uncultured bacterium. RNAcentral's name for it is "partial 16S ribosomal RNA". It matches the Rfam family "Bacterial small subunit ribosomal RNA", at positions 339 to 795 of the family's 1533-position model. The record is from RNAcentral.
CUACGGGGGGCAGCAGUGAGGAAUCUUGCGCAAUGGUGGAAACCCUGACGCAGCGACGCCGCGUGAGUGAAGAAGGCCUUCGGGUCGUAAAGCUCUGUCAAGUGGGAAUAACAUCUAGCGGUGAAUAGCCGUAAGGAUCUGAAGGUACCACUAGAGGAAGCACCGGCUAACUCCGUGCCAGCAGCCGCGGUAAUACGGAGGGUGCAAGCGUUAUUCGGAUUUAUUGGGCGUAAAGAGCGUGUAGGCGGUUGGGUAAGUCAGAUGUGAAAUCCUUUUGCUCAACAAAAGAAGUGCAUCUGAAACUGCGCAACUUGAGUACGAGAGAGGAGAGUGGAAUUCCCAGUGUAGAGGUGAAAUUCGUAGAUAUUGGGAGGAACACCUGUGGCGAAGCGACUCUCUGGAUCGAUACUGACGCUGAGACGCGAAAGCGUGGGGAGCAAACAGGAUUAGAUACCCGGGUAGUC